AUGAUAGUCACAUUGACAAGUGGCUACAACAUUGAUUAAGCAGUUCCAUUUGUUGAGUGGGGCUGGACAGGCCAUAGCCCAGAACAAUCGCAGAAUCGACUGCUGGAAGAUUUACAUUUGCACGUGGCAACACAUUUGGUAAAGUAAUUCUUCAAAGCGUCAACAUUUUCUUUCUGUAUGGCGUGGCAAUUGUAGGUUAGAUUAAGGGCGGGACUAGGUGUAAUCAAUGUCGUUCUCAAGGAUAAUACAGCUACUGCGACAUAGCCGAUUUAGACGGGAUGUUAUUUAUAGACACUUUUCGGGGUUGCUUUACCCAUUUCUACUUGCUUUGGUCAACUCAAGUUGGGUCGAAGCUACAAAAUUUACGAGGAAUAAGUUACUUUAAAGGCGAAUUCGAGAAUUCUCGCGGUUGACAUUCAGGUACCUCACAUGCUUUGGCUCUGUUGCAGGUAUUUUUUAAGCUUUAUGGUUUUCUAGAUUUAUUUUCAUUCAGAUGUUAGUUGUUUGUCUCAUAGUUUUAGCAUAGGAAAGAAACUAAAUAUAAACAAAAGACACUUAAUUUUUGUACCAGCCAAAUCUUUCACCCCCUACACCCUACUUUUUUUGCAUGUUUACAUGGGGUGGCAUGGCACGCUGGUGGGUUGUGUAACCGGUCAAAAAAGUUUGUGUGAAAAAUGAGUAGCUUUAGUAGGUGUUGUGUCAGCUCGAAGUGGUACGUAAUUUCACAAAUCAUAAGGAAAAAAUAUCCAGUUUUCAACUGAAGAAAAUAGUUUUCAUAUCAUGGACUGAAAAUUGCAGUUGAUACAUAACCAGUUUGGCUUGCCGUUUUCAACAGUUUGGGAUGAGCUUUGCACACUUCUACUUCGUUUGCAUGG
Helianthus annuus (common sunflower) is the source of this 875-nucleotide long non-coding RNA. RefSeq lists it as uncharacterized. The record is from RefSeq and is a predicted model, not a curated record. NCBI's taxonomy places the organism in Eukaryota, Viridiplantae, Streptophyta, Magnoliopsida, Asterales, Asteraceae. The transcript has 3 exons.